ACGUCGGCUAGACGACGCUGGCGGCGUGGAUAAGACAUGCAAGUCGAACGGGCUUAAUUCCGGAGCAAUUCGGGGUUGAGCCAGUGGCGAACGGGUGCGUAACACGUGAGUAAUCUGCCUGAAAGUGGGGGAUAGCUCGUCGAAAGGCGAAUUAAUACCGCAUGUGACCCGAAGCAAUUCGGGUUAAAGCCGGGGCAACCUGGCGCUUUUAGAGGAACUCGCGGCCUAUCAGCUUGUUGGUGAGGUAAAGGCUUACCAAGGCUACGACGGGUAGCUGGUCUGAGAGGACGACCAGCCACACUGGAACUGAGACACGGUCCAGACACCUACGGGUGGCAGCAGUCGAGAAUUUUUCUCAAUGGGGGAAACCCUGAAGGAGCGACGCCGCGUGGAGGAUGAAGGCUUUCGGGUUGUAAACUCCUGUCAUUUGGGAACAAAGCCUUACGUUAACUGCGUGGAGGUUUGAUAGUACCGAAAGAGGAAGAGACGGCUAACUCUGUGCCAGCAGCCGCGGUAAUACAGAGGUCUCAAGCGUUGUUCGGAUUCAUUGGGCGUAAAGGGCGCGUAGGCGGCGGGGCAAGUCGGGUGUGAAAUCUCAGGGCUCAACCUGAAACUGCACUCGAUACUGCUCUGCUUGAGGACUGGAGAGGAGACUGGAAUUCACGGUGUAGCAGUGAAAUGCGUAGAUAUCGUGAGGAAGACCAGUGGCGAAGGCGGGUCUCUGGACAGUUCCUGACGCUGAGGCGCGAAGGCCAGGGGAGCAAACGGGAUUAGAUACCCCGGUAGUCCUGGCAGUAAACGGUGCACGUUUGGUGUGCGCGGAUUCGACCCCGUGCGUGCCGGAGCUAACGCGUUAAACGUGCCGCCUGAGGAGUACGGUCGCAAGAUUAAAACUCAAAGAAAUUGACGGGGGCCCGCACAAGCGGUGGAGUAUGUGGCUUAAUUCGAUGCAACGCGAAGAACCUUACCUGGGCUUGACAUGCAUCGUGUCGUCGGUGAAAGCCGGCUAGUGUAGCAAUACACGCUUUGCACAGGUGCUGCAUGGCUGUCGUCAGCUCGUGUCGUGAGAUGUUGGGUUAAGUCCCGCAACGAGCGCAACCCCUGUGAACUGUUGCUACCCAGCACCACUUUUGUCCCCAAUCCUGCAUGUGGAGGACGCUUUGGAGACAAAAUGGUGCUGGGGCACUCUGUUCAGACUGCCCUGUGAAACGGGGAGGAAGGUGGGGAUGACGUCAAGUCAGGAUGGCCCUUACGCCCAGGGCUGCACACGUACUACAAUGCUCAGUACAGAACGACCCGAAAUCGCGAGGUGGAGGAAAUCACUAAAACUGAGCCCAGUUCGGAUUGUAGGCUGCAACUCGCCUACAUGAAGCCGGAAUCGCUAGUAAUGGCGUAUCAGCUACGACGCCGUGAAUACGUUCCCGGGCCUUGUACACACCGCCCGUCACAUCAUGGGAGUCGCUUGUACCCGAAGUGUCUGUGCCAAUCCGCGCAAGCGGAAGGCAGGGCCCUAAGGUAUGAGCGGUAACUGGAGAAGUCGAUCCAAGGUUC
RNAcentral lists this ribosomal RNA (1551 nucleotides) under uncultured bacterium. RNAcentral's name for it is "bacterial SSU rRNA". It matches the Rfam family "Bacterial small subunit ribosomal RNA". The record is from RNAcentral.